RNAcentral lists this ribosomal RNA (450 nucleotides) under uncultured bacterium. RNAcentral describes it as "partial 16S ribosomal RNA". It matches the Rfam family "Bacterial small subunit ribosomal RNA", at positions 354 to 796 of the family's 1533-position model. The record is from RNAcentral.
GUGGGGAAUUUUGGACAAUGGGCGAAAGCCUGAUCCAGCCAUGCCGCGUGCAGGAUGAAGGCCUUCGGGUUGUAAACUGCUUUUGUACGGAACGAAAAGACUCCUUCUAAUAAAGGGGGUCCAUGACGGUACCGUAAGAAUAAGCACCGGCUAACUACGUGCCAGCAGCCGCGGUAAUACGUAGGGUGCAAGCGUUAAUCGGAAUUACUGGGCGUAAAGCGUGCGCAGGCGGUGAGAUAAGACAGAUGUGAAAUCCCCGGGCUCAAACUGGGAACUGCAUUUGUGACUGUAUAGCUAGAGUACGGUAGAGGGGGAUGGAAUUCCGCGUGUAGCAGUGAAAUGCGUAGAUAUGCGGAGGAACACCGAUGGCGAAGGCAAUCCCCUGGGCCUGCACUGACGCUCAUGCACGAAAGCGUGGGGAGCAAACAGGAUUAGAUACCCCUGUAGUCC